UUGCCCUACGGGACGCAGCAGUGAGGAAUAUUGGUCAAUGGCCGGAAGGCUGAACCAGCCAAGCCGCGUGAAGGACGAAGGUGCCAAGCAUUGUAAACUUCUUUUGUCAAGGGACAAAAUCAGGCUCGAGAGCCUGACCGAGGGUACUUGAAGAAAAAGCAUCGGCUAACUCCGUGCCAGCAGCCGCGGUAAUACGGAGGAUGCGAGCGUUAUCCGGAUUUAUUGGGUUUAAAGGGUGCGUAGGCGGGCUGUUAAGUCAGCGGUAAAAUCCCGGGGCUCAACCCCUGCGAGCCGUUGGAACUGGG
RNAcentral lists this ribosomal RNA (305 nucleotides) under uncultured bacterium. RNAcentral's name for it is "bacterial SSU rRNA". It matches the Rfam family "Bacterial small subunit ribosomal RNA", at positions 334 to 637 of the family's 1533-position model. The record is from RNAcentral.